AAGACAUUAGUAAAAUGCAAAUCACACCACCUUGUCAAGGCGGAAUUGUAGGUUAAAUCCCUGCAUGUCUUA
This 72-nucleotide transfer RNA is filed under the name Neolissochilus qiaojiensis. Its description in RNAcentral is "tRNA-Asp". It matches the Rfam family "tRNA". Rfam says of the family: Transfer RNA (tRNA) molecules are approximately 80 nucleotides in length. Lineage: Eukaryota; Metazoa; Chordata; Actinopteri; Cypriniformes; Cyprinidae. The record is from RNAcentral.